RNAcentral lists this ribosomal RNA (482 nucleotides) under uncultured bacterium. RNAcentral's name for it is "partial 16S ribosomal RNA". It matches the Rfam family "Bacterial small subunit ribosomal RNA", at positions 30 to 507 of the family's 1533-position model. The record is from RNAcentral.
AUUGAACGCUGGCGGCAUGCCUUACACAUGCAAGUCGAACGGUAACGGGCCUUCGGGUGCCGACGAGUGGCGAACGGGUGAGUAAUACAUCGGAACGUGCCCGAUCGUGGGGGAUAACGAGGCGAAAGCUUUGCUAAUACCGCAUACGAUCUACGGAUGAAAGCAGGGGACCGCAAGGCCUUGCGCGGACGGAGCGGCCGAUGGCAGAUUAGGGAGUUGGGGGGAUAAAAGCUUACCAAGCCGACGAUCUGUAGCUGGUCUGAGAGGAUGAUCAGCCACACUGGGACUGAGACACGGCCCAGACUCCUACGGGAGGCAGCAGUGGGGAAUUUUGGACAAUGGGCGCAAGCCUGAUCCAGCCAUGCCGCGUGCAGGAUGAAGGCCUUCGGGUUGUAAACUGCUUUUGUACGGAACGAAAAGCCUUCUUUUAAUACAGGAGGGUCAUGACGGUACCGUAAGAAUAAGCACCGGCUAACUACGUG